Molecule: ribosomal RNA, 337 nt
Filed under: Macaca thibetana (Pere David's macaque)
Lineage: Eukaryota; Metazoa; Chordata; Mammalia; Primates; Cercopithecidae
Description: partial large subunit ribosomal RNA
Rfam family: Bacterial large subunit ribosomal RNA
Source: RNAcentral
AACCCACGGACCUCUAAACUACCGACACCUGCAUUAAAAAUUUUGGUUGGGGCGACCUCGGAGCACAACAAAACCUCCGAAUAACACAUGCUAAGACCACACAAGUCAAAGCGAGCUAACACUCAUAAUUGAUCCAAUAAUUUGAUCAACGGAACAAGUUACCCUAGGGAUAACAGCGCAAUUCUAUUCUAGAGUCCAUAUCGACAAUAGAGCUUACGACCUCGAUGUUGGAUCAGGACAUCCUAAUGGUGCAGCAGCUAUCAAGGGUUCGUUUGUUCAACGAUUAAAGUCCUACGUGAUCUGAGUUCAGACCGGAGUAAUCCAGGUCGGUUUCUAU